GAUGAACGCUGGCGGCGUGCCUAAUACAUGCAAGUCGAGCGAACAGAUGAGGAGCUUGCUCCUCGGACGUUAGCGGGGGACGGAUGAGUAACACAUGGAUAACUUACCUAUAAGACAGGGAUAACUUCGGGAAACCGGUGCUAAUACCGGAUACUAUAUGCAACGGCAGGGUUCAAUAGUGAAAGCGGGUUUUGCUGUCACUUAUAGAUGGAUCCGCGCCGCUUUGGCUAGGUGGUAAGGUAACGGCUUACCAAGGCAACGAUGCGCAGCCGACCGGAUAGAGGGGUCGGCCGCACUGGAACGGAGACACGGUCCUUACUCCUACGGUAGGCAGCAGAAGGCAAUCUUCCGCAAUGGGCGAAAGCCUUACGGAGCGACGCCGCGUGUGUGAUGAAGGUCUUCCGUUCGUAAAACUCUGUUAUGAGUGAAGAACAAAUGUGUAAGUAACUAUGCACGUCUUGACGGUACCUAAUCAGAAAGCCACGGCUAACUACGUG
This 497-nucleotide ribosomal RNA is filed under the name uncultured bacterium. RNAcentral's name for it is "partial 16S ribosomal RNA". It matches the Rfam family "Bacterial small subunit ribosomal RNA", at positions 28 to 507 of the family's 1533-position model. The record is from RNAcentral.